Molecule: long non-coding RNA, 254 nt
Filed under: Elaeis guineensis (African oil palm)
Lineage: Eukaryota; Viridiplantae; Streptophyta; Magnoliopsida; Arecales; Arecaceae
Description: long non-coding RNA (EGUI_LNC032841)
Source: RNAcentral
CAGUGUAGAAACCCGAGCCACGUGGUACAUUUCUGUACUAUUUUGGACCUUGCCACUUGUCAUUCCACAAGUUGUGACCCUAACUAAGUGCAAACUUUGACGUGCUAGGAUGGCCACAAAUGUUGCAACUCUUUGUGGCACGUCUCUUGUAGCAGUUCCACUUGGCAAGAUCAUGUAUUUGUGACCCCAAACUAUUGUACUUUAAAAGAUCAUGAAGCAUGGUUCAACAGCAUUGGCGGUGAUCAAGAUACAAC